RNAcentral lists this transfer RNA (71 nucleotides) under Camelus bactrianus (Bactrian camel). It matches the Rfam family "tRNA". From Rfam's summary of the family: Transfer RNA (tRNA) molecules are approximately 80 nucleotides in length. Lineage: Eukaryota; Metazoa; Chordata; Mammalia; Artiodactyla; Camelidae. The record is from Rfam by way of RNAcentral. RNAcentral also lists the same sequence under 2 other names.
GAGGGUAUAGCUCAGCUGCAGAGUGUGUGCUUAGCUCGCACAAGGUCCUGGGUUCAAUCCCGAUUACCUCC